GGGGCUGCACUGGUUUCGACGUGGGUUCGGAAUCGCAGCGGUGCAUGUCGAGCUUGAAUAGCGCUCGUAAAUCUGUAUUCGACAAACUAACUGCAAACGACGAACGUUUCGCACUCGCCGCUUAAUUGCCGGUGAGCCUCGCAACAGCAGGCCAAUGGGCUGGGCAAGGGUAUCGGGUCAAACCGGUGUCCAGGCUGCGGGGUAACUUACAUUGGCUGGCUUCAUGUCGGGUACCUUGGCAUGGGGCGAGAUCCAAGGGUGCUGGCUGGUGGGGCAGCGUGCGACUGCGCGGCUCUUCCGGUAAGACUCAAAACAGACCGCUAAACAUGUAGAUCUGCGCGAAGAAGGCUUGCGGACGGGGGUUCAAAUCCCCCCAGCUCCACCA
Molecule: transfer-messenger RNA, 385 nt
Filed under: Burkholderiales
Lineage: Bacteria; Pseudomonadati; Pseudomonadota; Betaproteobacteria
Also listed under: 1 other name
Description: JAGOCV01 sp017307855 Standard tmRNA
Rfam family: transfer-messenger RNA
About the family: Bacterial tmRNA, also known as 10Sa RNA or SsrA, is named for its dual tRNA and mRNA-like properties.
Source: RNAcentral